RNAcentral lists this transfer RNA (63 nucleotides) under Heterocephalus glaber (naked mole-rat). It matches the Rfam family "tRNA", at positions 5 to 66 of the family's 71-position model. Rfam says of the family: Transfer RNA (tRNA) molecules are approximately 80 nucleotides in length. Their secondary structure includes four short double-helical elements and three loops (D, anti-codon, and T loops). Lineage: Eukaryota; Metazoa; Chordata; Mammalia; Rodentia; Bathyergidae. The record is from Rfam by way of RNAcentral.
GUGUAGCUCAGUGGUAGAGUGCUUGCCUAGUAUGCAUGAGGAUCAGGGUUCAAUCUCUAGCAC